GACGAACGCUGGCGGCGUGCUUAACACAUGCAAGUCGAGCGGUAAGGCCCUUUCGGGGGUACGACGAGCGGCGAACGGGUGAGUAACACGUGGGCGAACCUGCCCUUACGCUCUGGGAGUAACCCCGGGAAACCCGGGGCGUAAUACCGGAUAUCACUUCGAGUGGCAUCGCUCGAAGUUGAAAGGAUUCUGGCUAAGGAUGGGCCCGCGGCCUAUCAGCUUGUUGGUGGGGUAAUGGCCUACCAAGGCGACGAC
Molecule: ribosomal RNA, 255 nt
Filed under: uncultured bacterium
Lineage: Bacteria
Description: partial 16S ribosomal RNA
Rfam family: Bacterial small subunit ribosomal RNA
Source: RNAcentral